UACGUAGGGGGCAAGCGUUAUCCGGAUUUACUGGGUGUAAAGGGAGCGUAGACGGUUUGGCAAGUCAGAUGUGAAAGCCCGGGGCUCAACCCCGGGACUGCAUUUGAAACUGCGAGACUAGAGUGCAGGAGAGGUAAGUGGAAUUCCAUGUGUAGCGGUGAAAUGCGUAGAUAUAUGGAGGAACACCAGUGGCGAAGGCGACUUUCUGGUCUAUUAUUGACGCUGAGGCUCGAAAGCAUGGGUAGCAAACAGGAUUAGAUACCGU
RNAcentral lists this ribosomal RNA (265 nucleotides) under uncultured prokaryote. Its description in RNAcentral is "partial 16S ribosomal RNA". It matches the Rfam family "Bacterial small subunit ribosomal RNA", at positions 524 to 788 of the family's 1533-position model. The record is from RNAcentral.